This 342-nucleotide unclassified non-coding RNA is filed under the name uncultured fungus. RNAcentral describes it as "partial contains 5.8S ribosomal RNA and internal transcribed spacer 2". The stretch from base 1 to 133 matches the Rfam family "5.8S ribosomal RNA", at positions 22 to 154 of the family's 154-position model. The record is from RNAcentral. Lineage: Eukaryota; Fungi.
UGGUUCUGGCAUCGAUGAAGAACGCAGCGAAAUGCGAUAAGUAAUGUGAAUUGCAGAAUUCAGUGAAUCAUCGAAUCUUUGAACGCACAUUGCGCCCAUUAGUAUUCUAGUGGGCAUGCCUGUUCGAGCGUCAUUUCAACCCCCAAGCCCUAGUUGCUUGUCGUUGGGAGCCUGCCGUAAAACGCAGCUCCUCAAAGCUAGCUGGCAGAGUUAGGAUUCUUAACUGUGAGCGUAGUAGAACUUUUUUACAUCUCGCUUCUCUGGUUGUCCUGGCCUUCUCGCCAUUAAAGCCCCAAACUUUUUUCUAUGGUUGACCUCGGAUCAGGUAGGAAUACCCGCUGA